GAAAACCCGGCCCGCGCCCGGCAGCCGUACCGCAGACGAGCCCGCGCCCGCGCCCGCGCCGCUCAGAUCUCCCAUCUGGACAUUGGAAAUAACUUUUGAUGGUCUAGGGCCUCUCUCAUUUGACCCCAGGAAAUGAGCUUUGACUGUUAGGCACCUGGAUGAAGAGCCCUGGGUUCAGCUUGUCAGAGUCCUGUA
This is a long non-coding RNA of Neomonachus schauinslandi (Hawaiian monk seal), 195 nucleotides long. RefSeq lists it as uncharacterized. The transcript is spliced from 3 exons. The record is from RefSeq and is a predicted model, not a curated record. Lineage: Eukaryota; Metazoa; Chordata; Mammalia; Carnivora; Phocidae.